This 1697-nucleotide ribosomal RNA is filed under the name Lateolabrax japonicus (Japanese seabass). RNAcentral describes it as "16S ribosomal RNA". The stretch from base 99 to 1618 matches the Rfam family "Bacterial large subunit ribosomal RNA". Lineage: Eukaryota; Metazoa; Chordata; Actinopteri; Acropomatiformes; Lateolabracidae. The record is from RNAcentral.
CGCCCAACAGCUAGCCCCACCAAUCAAGAACAACAAGUCACUGUUAAUAACCCCAAAUGCACCAACAUCAUUAUUAAACAAAUCAUUUUUCCCCCUUAGUAUGGGCGACAGAAAAGGGACCAGGAGCAAUAGAGAAAGUACCGCAAGGGAACGCUGAAAAAGUAAAUGAAAGAACCCAGUAAAGCAUAGAAAAGCAGAGAUUUAAACUCGUACCUUUUGCAUCAUGAUUUAGCUAGUAAACCUCAAGCAAAGCGUACUUUAGUUUGACCCCCCGAAACCAGUGUGAGCUACUCCAAGACAGCCUAAUAUAGGGCACACCCGUCUCUGUGGCAAUAGAGUGGGAAGAGCUUUGAGUAGAGGUGACAGACCUACCGAACCUGGUUAUAGCUGGUUGCCUGAGAAAUGGAUAGGAGUUCAGCCUCCCGGCUUCUCUAUUCAAAGCCUAUUAACCGCCAAACAAAACGAUAGAUGCAAGAGAAACCGAGAGAGUUAGUCAAAAGAGGUACAGCUCUUUUGAAACAAGAAACAACUUUCCCAGGAGGGUAAAGAUCAUAAUAAGAAUAAGGUAAAAUGUUUUGGUGGGCCUAAAAGCAGCCAUCCCUCUAGAAAGCGUUAAAGCUCAAACAUACCCCCUAUCCUAUUAUCCCGAUAACCCAAUCUUAGCCCCCUAGUCUUACCAGGCCGCUCCAUACAAAUAUGGAAGUGACCAUGCUAAUAUGAGUAAUAAGAGAGCCUCGCCUCUCUCCUUGCACAAGUGUAAAUCGGACUGGACUCCCCGCCGAAAAUUAACGAUCCCAAACAAAGAGGGUACUGAACGAUAAACCAGAUAACGAGAAAAUCAUUCAAUAACUUACCGUUAAACCCACACUGGUGUGCUCCAAGGAAAGACUAAAAGAAAAAGAAGGAACUCGGCAAACACAUGAAGCCUCGCCUGUUUACCAAAAACAUCGCCUCUUGCAAAACUAUGAAUAAGAGGUCCCGCCUGCCCGGUGACUAUAAGUUCAACGGCCGCGGUAUUUUGACCGUGCGAAGGUAGCGUAAUCACCUGUCUUUUAAAUGGAGACCUGUAUGAAUGGCACGACGAGGGCUUGACUGUCUCCUUUUUCCAGUCGAUGAAAUUGAUCUCUCCGUGCAGAAGCGGGGAUACCAACAUAAGACGAGAAGACCCUAUGGAGCUUUAGACGCCAGGACAGACCAUGUCAAGCAACCCCUGACAAGGGGUCAAACCAAAUGCACCCUGUCCCAAUGUCUUUGGUUGGGGCGACCGCGGGGAACUACAAAACCCCCACGUGGAAUGGGAACACCCUCCUACAACUGAGAGCUUCCGCUCUAGUGAACAGAAAUUCUGACCAACAAGAUCCGGCAACGCCGAUUAACGGACCGAGUUACCCUAGGGAUAACAGCGCAAUCCCCUUUUAGAGCCCAUAUCGACAAGGGGGUUUACGACCUCGAUGUUGGAUCAGGACAUCCUAAUGGUGCAGCCGCUAUUAAGGGUUCGUUUGUUCAACGAUUAAAGUCCUACGUGAUCUGAGUUCAGACCGGAGCAAUCCAGGUCAGUUUCUAUCUAUGACAUGAUCUUCUCUAGUACGAAAGGACCGAGAAGAAGAGGCCCAUGCUUAAAGUACGCCUCCCCCCGACCUGAUGAAGACAACUAAAACAGACAAAAGGGCAUAACCCCGCGCCUGAAAAAAAGGCAU